UUUAUUCUUGUCACCAGGUACCGUGAUGGAGAGGUGGUUGGGGCAUUAUAUAGUCGGGAUGUCAUAGUACUUUGAAGUCAUUAGUAUUCUAGAAUGAAGAAUGGAAAGAGGAGAAUGAGCUAAAGCUGCACGUGAGUGAUAGUCCCUGAUGGAGCUGUAGUAGGCCCAUCAUAACAAAAGACUGUUGAUCUAAAGACAGAUGUGAUCAGAAAUGCCUCAGAAGAUGUCUUUUAUGAAUCAGGUGUAUGAGGACUAGUGUGACAAACAAUGUUUGAAAAGUGUAAGAAAUGAUUUGAGAUCCUGAGCUGUGGAGAGCCUGCUUUCAGAACCUGCUGACUGGUGCUUCUCUGACAUCAACUGUAGCUUUGCUAAGAUCAGAGUUCCAAUAUGACCAGGCUCUUGAAAGGGAAGCACUGAAUACAGAGCACAUUUAUCAAGGCAAAAGUGCUUAACUAUGACCUUAAGCACAUGCUGCUGCUUGUUAGUAUAACUGAAGCUACACAAACAUGAUAAAAGAUGUUAACCCAACUUUCAGAAGAGAAGGGUUCAAUAUCCUGCCAUGGUACAGACACAUGGGCAAUCAAUCUGGUGUUUCAUUUCUACAUCUCUGAAAAAAAGACAUCUAUUCACCUAUACUCCAGAGAUCUUAUUCAGUGUCUUCUCAGCAAAACUACAGUCCUCCAGAGUCAAUUUUCCUAAUAGAGUCCUCCCUGACUAGGUUGGACAAAUGUCAUGUCCCCUGGCUCUAUCCAUCUUGUAAUGAAAAUUAGACCUAUUGCCAGCUACACCUUGCUGAUUGCUUCCUACCUGCUGCUAAGGAUAAUUUGUGCAGUGUAAAUGAAGACUUCAGCAGUUGGUGAAAGGAAAAAAGGUACAAGAAAGGGCUGAUGUUCAACAUUUACAAAAGACAGCCAAUAAAGACACA
This is a long non-coding RNA of Numida meleagris (helmeted guineafowl), 925 nucleotides long. RefSeq lists it as uncharacterized. The transcript has 5 exons. Lineage: Eukaryota; Metazoa; Chordata; Aves; Galliformes; Numididae. The record is from RefSeq and is a predicted model, not a curated record.